RNAcentral lists this ribosomal RNA (482 nucleotides) under uncultured bacterium. RNAcentral describes it as "partial 16S ribosomal RNA". It matches the Rfam family "Bacterial small subunit ribosomal RNA", at positions 30 to 507 of the family's 1533-position model. The record is from RNAcentral.
AUUGAACGCUGGCGGCAUGCCUUACACAUGCAAGUCGAACGGUAACAGGUCUUCGGAUGCUGACGAGUGGCGAACGGGUGAGUAAUACAUCGGAACGUGCCCGAUCGUGGGGGAUAACGAGGCGAAAGCUUUGCUAAUACCGCAUACGAUCUACGGAUGAAAGCGGGGGAUCUUCGGACCUCGCGCGGACGGAGCGGCCGAUGGCAGAUUAAGUAGUUGGUGGGAUAAAAGCUUACCAAGCCGACGAUCCGUAGCCGGGCCGAGAGGAUGAUCAGCCACACUUGGACUUGAACACCGCCCCGGCUCCUUCCGGAGGCCGCAGUGGGGAAUUUUUGACAAUUGGCCGAAGCCUGGUCCCGGCCUGCCGCCUUGCGGAUUAAGGCCUUCCGGUUGUUAACUUCCUUUUUUACGAAAGAAAAGCCUCCUUCUAAUAAAGAGGGGUCAUGACGGUACCGUAAGAAUAAGCACCGGCUAACUACGUG